GGUCUUCAUAGCUCAGCAGUUCCUUCGACUGCAUCAUGAUUCAAUUAUCCUUUCAAGGGUGAUGAUUUGAGACCUGUGGGCACUCACCAGUCCUUUC
This is an unclassified non-coding RNA of 97 nucleotides. Its record names the gene Vault. It matches the Rfam family "Vault RNA". Rfam says of the family: This family of RNAs are found as part of the enigmatic vault ribonucleoprotein complex. The record is from Ensembl.